AGCAGCCGCGGUAAUUCCAGCUCCAAUAGCGUAUAUUAAAGUUGUUGCAGUUAAAAAGCUCGUAGUUGAAUUUCGGGAUGAUCAGGUUGGUCGUGCCAUUGGUAUGUACUAGCUUUGGUGGUUCCUACCUCUUGAAGAACCGUAAUGUCAUUAACUUGGUGUUGCGGGGAAUCAGGACUGUUACUUUGAAAAAAUUAGAGUGUUUAAAGCAGGCAAACGCUUGAAUACAUUAGCAUGGAAUAAUGAAAUAGGACGUUUGAUCUUAUUUUGUUGGUUUCUAGGAUCGACGUAAUGAUUAAUAGGGAUAGUUGGGGGCAUUAGUAUUCAAUUGUCAGAGGUGAAAUUCUUGGAUUUAUUGAAGACUAACUACUGCGAAAGCAUUUGCCAAGGAUGUUUUCAUUAAUCAAGAACGAAAGUUAGGGGAUCGAAGACGAUCAGAUACCGUCGUAGUCUUAACCAUAAACUAUGCCGACUAGGGAUCGGAUGAUGUUAAUUUUUUAAUGACUCA
RNAcentral lists this ribosomal RNA (508 nucleotides) under uncultured fungus. Its description in RNAcentral is "SSU rRNA". It matches the Rfam family "Eukaryotic small subunit ribosomal RNA", at positions 569 to 1078 of the family's 1831-position model. Lineage: Eukaryota; Fungi. The record is from RNAcentral.